CCUACGGGAGGCUGCAGUGGGGGAUAUUGCACAAUGGGGGAAACCCUGAUGCAGCGACGUCGCGUGUGGGAAGACGGUCCUCUGGAUUGUAAACCACUGUCCCCAGGGACGAAGAUGACGGUACCUGGGGAGGAAGCUCCGGCUAACUACGUGCCAGCAGCCGCGGUAAUACGUAGGGAGCGAGCGUUGUCCGGAAUUACGGGGUGAAAAGGGAGCGUAGGCGGGACUGCAAGUUGGGUGUCAAAUCUACCGGCUCAACCGGUAGCCGCACUCAAAACUGCAGUUCUUGAGUGAAGUAGAGGCAGGCGGAAUUCCUAGUGUAGCGGUGAAAUGCGUAGAUAUUAGGAGGAACACCAGUGGCGAAGGCGGCCUGCUGGGCUUUUACUGACGCUGAGGCUCGAAAGUGUGGGGAGCAAACAGGAUUAGAUACCCCAGUAGUC
RNAcentral lists this ribosomal RNA (440 nucleotides) under uncultured bacterium. RNAcentral's name for it is "partial 16S ribosomal RNA". It matches the Rfam family "Bacterial small subunit ribosomal RNA", at positions 338 to 795 of the family's 1533-position model. The record is from RNAcentral.